RNAcentral lists this ribosomal RNA (253 nucleotides) under uncultured bacterium. Its description in RNAcentral is "partial 16S ribosomal RNA". It matches the Rfam family "Bacterial small subunit ribosomal RNA", at positions 524 to 776 of the family's 1533-position model. The record is from RNAcentral.
UACAGAGGUCCCAAGCGUUGUUCGGAUUCACUGGGCGUAAAGGGUGCGUAGGCGGUCGGGUAAGUCUGAUGUGAAAUCUCACAGCUUAACUGUGAAACUGCAUUGGAUACUAUCUGGCUAGAGGAAUGGAGGGGAGACUGGAAUACUUGGUGUAGCAGUGAAAUGCGUAGAUAUCAAGUGGAACACCAGUGGCGAAGGCGGCUUCCUGGUCCGACACCGACGUUCAGGCACGAAAGCGUGGGGAGCAAACAGG